AGAACUCUGAUCCUGGCCCUUCAGAGCUGCCUGGCUGAGGUGUUGGUGGAAAGGCCUUGUCACGGUUGCACGAGGGGGACGAUGACCUUGGCCUGCGGGUCCCCCCUCCGAGGAUGUAGGAUCCUCUGCAUCCUGAUCGUGGUCGGACCGAGCCUCCUGGCGAUGGCUGAGGUGCCUGAGAAAAUGCCUUCUUGUUGCGGUUGCACGCUUUGCACGGAAUCUGCGAGGGGGGCGCUGGCCUUUGCCCUUGGGUCCCCCCUCCGAGGACGCAGCAUCCUCUGAAUCCCGGUUCUGGCUGGGCGAGGUCGCCGGGUUUUGGUGGAGGUGCCGGAGAAAUGAUUCUCCUCUCAAUUUCCUCCCGAACUGUGGACGUACGUCUCUAGGACUGGCUGUGGAGUCAGGUAGCUUAAAUCGUGUUUCUUGGGUCUUUUUAGGCAUGAAAUUCCCAUUGGCUGUCUCUCAGGUAAAGAAGCUAAAAGCAGAGAAAGAAGUGACCAUCUCCAGGUGGUACAGAAGUCAGAGCAUCCUUCCGUGUGAUUGAAGCGCCCACUGGAGGCCACAGCGGGAACAGACACCAGAAAUUUUUUGGUGAGCUAGCUAGAGGGACACAACAUAAUCUUUUAAAAGCAUAGAUGGGAUGAUGUCACCCUUAUACUUUAAGUAUUCAGUGACGUCUCUUGGCGGUGGAACAGAAUUCAAACUCCUCACCAUGGCAUGAGUCACCACUCUCUUGACUCACUCCAAACACCCUCCUUGCCCUCAACCCAAGCUGCAAACUUCCACCCCCAGGGUUUCCCGUUCCUGGGCUCCCAAGUAUCAGUCCUGUCUGGACUUUUUACUUGCCUUGAUCCUUCGGACCACCUUUCAGGACUCUAUGCACUUCUUCCAUACACUGGAUCAUGGCCUUUAUUCCCAUCACCCUUGGCAUGAGCAGAGAUUGUCUUGCUCAUGGAUUGGUUUAUUACAUCAAACCUCCUGAAUUGGGAGUGCCACCAGAGUGGGGACUACAUGGACCUCACAUGCCCAGUGCCCAGCACAAACUUGGGAACUGUGUGGAUUGGAAUGAUGUAGGGGGUGGGAGCGCGGAGCCCCAAGAGACCACAGUGGCUGUAGUAAUGAUAGUCCCUAGCACGCAGAGCCUUGGGACAGUGGGAGGAAUAACCCAGAGAACUAGAAACGAGCAGAAGAUGCUUAGAUAUGCUGGCUUAAGAAGGUCUAUUCAUCUUUACAAUUAUACAUAUACACGUCUGGGCACAUAUGUGUGUGGAUGCCAGUGGCACCCAGAAGUGUCCUCUGGUGCCAGAGUUGUGGGUGGUGGUCACUUAAUUCGACCUCUGACUGAACUCUGGCCCUCUGAAAUAGCUGCUGAGACAUCUCUCCAGGUCCAUAUGUCUUUUUUCUUCAUGUUUGUGUUCCUCUGUGUAGAUCAGGCUGACCUUGAGCUCACAGAAAUCCCCCUGCCUCCAAAUCCUGAAUGCCGGGAUUAAAGGGAUCCAUUACC
Molecule: long non-coding RNA, 1501 nt
Filed under: Mus musculus (house mouse)
Lineage: Eukaryota; Metazoa; Chordata; Mammalia; Rodentia; Muridae
Description: RIKEN cDNA 9430097D07 gene
Source: RNAcentral